This 109-nucleotide ribosomal RNA is filed under the name Shigella flexneri. Its description in RNAcentral is "partial 16S ribosomal RNA". It matches the Rfam family "Bacterial small subunit ribosomal RNA", at positions 1 to 101 of the family's 1533-position model. The record is from RNAcentral. Lineage: Bacteria; Pseudomonadati; Pseudomonadota; Gammaproteobacteria; Enterobacterales; Enterobacteriaceae.
UUAAAUUGAAGAGUUUGAUCAUGGCUCAGAUUGAACGCUGGCGGCAGGCCUAACACAUGCAAGUCGAACGGUAACAGGAAGCGCUUGCUGCUUCGCUGACGAGUGGCGG